Molecule: ribosomal RNA, 1360 nt
Filed under: Neurosymploca sp. 2 (morphotype 'geertsemai')
Lineage: Eukaryota; Metazoa; Arthropoda; Insecta; Lepidoptera; Zygaenidae
Description: 16S ribosomal RNA
Source: RNAcentral
GGGGGAAUAAUUAAUUAUUUUUAAUUAAUAAAAAAAUUUUUAAUUUAUAAUAAGAGUUUAAGUAUUUUUUAGGGGGAAAAUUUUAAAUUUUAUAGUAAAUUAGUAUUGUAAAAGAAUUUUAAAAUAUUUGAAAUAAAUUUAAUAAAAAGUAAUUUUUAUUUAAUGUAUCUUGUGUAUCAGAGUUUAUUAAAUAAUAUUUUUUUAAGAAAAUUUCUCGAAUUAAAAAGAGUUAUUUAAUUAUAAAAUUUAUUAUAAUAUAAAUAUUUUUAAUAAUUAAAUUGUAAUGAAAUGUUAAUCGUUUUUUAAGAUAUCUAGUUUUUUUAGAAAAAAAUUUAAUUUUAAAUUUUAAAAAUUAUUUAAUUUUUUUUUUAAUUUUUUAUUUUAAUAUUUUAAUAUUUUAAGGGAUAAGCUUUAAAUUAAAUUUUUAUAAAAUUAUUUAUUUUAUUAAUAAUUUUAUAAUUUAUAUUGUUAAAUAAAUUUUAAUUUAUUAUAAAUAAUUUUAAAUAAAUAAAAAUUUUAAUGAAUUUUUAAUUUUUUAUAAAAAAAUAAUUUUUAAUAAAAUAUAUUUAGAUAAAAUGAUAAAAUUAGUAUAUAAAAUUAUAAUAUUAAAUUUAAUUUUUAUUAAAUAUAUUUAUAAGGAAUUCGGCAAAAAUUUAUAUUCACCUGUUUAUCAAAAACAUGUCUUUUUGUUAAUAAUUUAAAGUCUAAUCUGCCCACUGAUUUUAUAUUAAAGGGCUGCAGUAUUUUGACUGUACAAAGGUAGCAUAAUCAUUAGUCUCUUAAUUGGUGACUUGUAUGAAUGAUUGGAUGAAAUAUAAACUGUUUUAUAUGGUAUUUUGUGAAAUUUAAUUUUUUUAUUAAAAAGUAAAAAUAAAUAUAAAAGACGAGAAGACCCUAUAGAGUUUAAUAAAGUUAGAAUUUGAUAAUUUUUUAUUUUAUUAAUAUUAAAAGUUUUAUUUUUAUUUUAUUGGGGUGAUAAAAAAAUUAAAUAAACUUUUUUAUAAAAUUUUCAUUGAUAAUUGAGUAUUUGAUCCAAUUUUAUUGAUUAUAAGAAAAAGUUACCUUAGGGAUAACAGCGUAAUUUUUUUUUUUAGUUCAAAUAAAAAAAAAAGUUUGCGACCUCGAUGUUGGAUUAAGAUAAAAUUUAAAUGAAAAAGUUUAAAAUUUUGAUCUGUUCGAUCAUUAAAAUCUUACAUGAUCUGAGUUCAAACCGGUGUAAGCCAGGUUGGUUUCUAUCUUUAUAUAGAAAAAAUAUUUUAGUACGAAAGGAUCAAAUAUUUAAAAUAAUUUUUAUUAUGGGAAUUUUAUUAAGUUUAUUUUAAAUUUAUAGUUAUUUUUAAUUUUAAUUUAUUAUUAUAUA